CAGUAGCCGCGGUAAUACAGAGGGUGCGAGCGUUAAUCGGAUUUACUGGGCGUAAAGCGUGCGUAGGCGGCUUUUUAAGUCGGAUGUGAAAUCCCUGAGCUUAACUUAGGAAUUGCAUUCGAUACUGGGAAGCUAGAGUAUGGGAGAGGAUGGUAGAAUUCAAGGUGUAGCGGUGAAAUGCGUAGAGAUCUGGAGGAAUACCGAUGGCGAAGGCAGCCAUCUGGCCUAAUACUGACGCUGAGGUACGAAAGCAUGGGGAGCAAACAGGAUUAGAUACCCCUGUAGUCCCUGUCUCUUAUAC
Molecule: ribosomal RNA, 301 nt
Filed under: uncultured bacterium
Lineage: Bacteria
Description: partial 16S ribosomal RNA
Rfam family: Bacterial small subunit ribosomal RNA
Source: RNAcentral